RNAcentral lists this ribosomal RNA (450 nucleotides) under uncultured bacterium. RNAcentral describes it as "bacterial SSU rRNA". It matches the Rfam family "Bacterial small subunit ribosomal RNA", at positions 328 to 792 of the family's 1533-position model. The record is from RNAcentral.
CAACCAGACUCCUACGGGAGGCAGCAGUGGGGAAUAUUGGGCAAUGGGCGCAAGCCUGACCCAGCAAUGCCGCGUGAAGGAAGAAGGCCCUCGGGUUGUAAACUUCUUUUAUCAGGGACGAAGGAUGUGACGGUACCUGAUGAAUAAGCUCCGGCUAACUACGUGCCAGCAGCCGCGGUAAUACGUAGGGAGCAAGCGUUAUCCGGAUUUACUGGGUGUAAAGGGCGCGUAGGCGGGAUGGCAAGUCAGAUGUGAAAUCCGGGGGCUCAACCUGUGGCCUGCAUUUGAAACUGUAGUUCUUGAGUACUGGAGAGGCAGACGGAAUUCCUAGUGUAGCGGUGAAAUGCGUAGAUAUUAGGAGGAACACCAGUGGCGAAGGCGGUCUGCUGGACAGCAACUGACGCUGAGGCGCGAAAGCGUGGGGAGCAAACAGGAUUAGAUACCCGAGUA